Mauremys reevesii (Reeves's turtle) is the source of this 641-nucleotide long non-coding RNA. RefSeq lists it as uncharacterized. The transcript is spliced from 3 exons. The record is from RefSeq and is a predicted model, not a curated record. Lineage: Eukaryota; Metazoa; Chordata; Testudines; Geoemydidae.
CCCUCCCCACAGCCAGUGACCUUCUGGCUCCAGCCCCACUCCUGUCCCCUGUGAAAAGACAUCACCCAGGGCUCCCUGCCAACCAUGUGAGAGUGAGGCAAGACAAUCCCCUCCCAUUCUGUUGUUGAGUCAAUAUCACUGUGUAAUCCCCUCAAAUUUCCCAUCUUUUCUCUUGAACUGUUGACAUAAAAUCUCCCCAUAAUCUCUCUAUUAUGUUGCCAAAUAUUUAGUUUGUGCCCCAUUUUCUCCUCAGUUCUGAAAUACUGAUAUCAAAUUCUCAAAAAUCUUCCCACUUUUCUCUCCAGGUGUGUGACUGAGAUCAGGGCUCUUAUCGUACUGGGCGUGGCCCUGUUCUGUCAGGUGCUGCAGAGACCCCAACUGAGAUCUGGGCCCCUUUCUGCCAGGCGCUGAAGAGACCUGAGGAGAGAUUAGAUCCCGCUGUUGUGCCAGGUGCUGCAGAGACCCCAACAGAGGUCAGACACCACUGUUAUGACAGGUGCUGUGGAGCCCCCAACUGAGAUCUGCGCCCCUGUUGUGCUGGACACUGCAGAGACCCCACAGACAUCAGGUCGCCCAUUGUGCCAGUCUGUAUGAGGAGUAUCUACUCAUUGAGACUCACUGGGGAGCCACAGAAAGGAACA